This 75-nucleotide transfer RNA is filed under the name bacterium. Its description in RNAcentral is "tRNA-Thr". It matches the Rfam family "tRNA". Rfam says of the family: Transfer RNA (tRNA) molecules are approximately 80 nucleotides in length. The record is from RNAcentral.
GCCGGUGUAGCUCAGUGGUAGAGCGUCCCGCUCGUAACGGGAAGGUCGUGGGUUCAAUCCCCACCGCCGGCUCAA